This 185-nucleotide ribosomal RNA is filed under the name uncultured bacterium. RNAcentral describes it as "partial 16S ribosomal RNA". It matches the Rfam family "Bacterial small subunit ribosomal RNA", at positions 1299 to 1500 of the family's 1533-position model. The record is from RNAcentral.
AAGAGGCUGAAACUCGCCUCUUUGAAGUCGGAAUCGCUAGUAAUCGCAGAUCAGCAUGUUGCGGUGAAUACGUUUCCUGGUCUUGUACACACCGCCCGUCAAACCAUGAGAGUCGCCAACACCCGAAGUCCGCUUUGCGGCCUAAGGUAGGGGAGAUGAUUGGGGUUAAGUCGUAACAAGGUAUC